CUCCUUCUGGAGUAUUCGCCAGUGAAUGGUAUUCCCUGAGCCGAUACGCAUCACUUAGGACAUGCAACCUACUGUUUUGUUGUGUAUGCCUGCAUCAUGUUUGAUAUAUCAGGAAACCUAAAAAGACAGUGUCAUGUCCGCCCUGAACUUUACGGUUCAUGGGUUCUCAUCUCACAGCGGUACUCUGGUUUUUAU
This 195-nucleotide non-coding RNA is filed under the name Lwoffella lincolnii. RNAcentral describes it as "Moraxella lincolnii 6S / SsrS RNA". It matches the Rfam family "6S / SsrS RNA". From Rfam's summary of the family: E. coli 6S RNA was the first non coding RNA to be sequenced, but its function was unknown until recently. It consists of 184 nucleotides that fold into an extended hairpin structure with a large single-stranded internal bulge. Lineage: Bacteria; Pseudomonadati; Pseudomonadota; Gammaproteobacteria; Moraxellales; Moraxellaceae. The record is from Rfam by way of RNAcentral.